Molecule: ribosomal RNA, 513 nt
Filed under: Rhantus binotatus
Lineage: Eukaryota; Metazoa; Arthropoda; Insecta; Coleoptera; Dytiscidae
Description: partial 16S ribosomal RNA
Rfam family: Bacterial large subunit ribosomal RNA
Source: RNAcentral
GUCCUUUUGAGAUUUAUAUAAGGUCUGACCUGCCCACUGAUUUUUUUGAAGGGCCGCAGUAAUUUGACUGUGCAAAGGUAGCAUAAUCAUUAGUUUUUUAAUUAAAAGCUUGUAUGAAGGGUUGGACGAGGUAAAAUCUGUCUCUAUUUAAAUUAUUAUAGAAUUUAAUUUUUAAGUUAAAAAGCUUAAAUUUAUUUAAAAGACGAGAAGACCCUAUAGAUCUUUAUAUAAGUUUUAAUAGUUUUAAUUAAGAAUAAUUUAUUUAUUAUUAUUAUUUAUAUUUUAUUGGGGUAAUAAAAAGAUUAAAUAAAUUCUUUUUUUAUUUAAACAUUAAUUUAUGAUUAUUUGAUCCAAUUAUUUUGAUUAAAAGAUUAAGUUACCUUAGGGAUAACAGCGUAAUUUUUUUAGAGAGUUCAUAUCGAUAAAAAAGUUUGCGACCUCGAUGUUGGAUUAAAAAUUAUCUUAGGUGCAGAAGUUUAAGAUUUUGGUCUGUUCGACCAUUAAAUUUUUACA